Lolium perenne is the source of this 1619-nucleotide non-coding RNA. Lineage: Eukaryota; Viridiplantae; Streptophyta; Magnoliopsida; Poales; Poaceae. The record is from RefSeq and is a predicted model, not a curated record.
AGACUCGCAUCCUACAUGUGGUACUUAUUCAGUUUGGCCUAUCUUAUUCUUCAAAGUGAAUUUCUUGUUUAAACAUGCCCUUGGUUGUUUCUUGAUAUUUCCGUGCCUCUGUGAUUUUAGAUACUCCCUCCAAUCCCUGUGCAGCUGCCAGAAAACAUAUCUUGUUGCCGAUGCCCAACAAGGUAUCUUCCAAAAUCUCAAUCUGUGUGUGCUUGCUUGCUGUUGCGCCUGCUUCCUUUGCAGCGAGGCUUUUUGCUUGAUGGUGUGCUCUGAUGGUGUUGAUUUUGUCCUGCUGGGUUGAUGUUUGAUGGCGCGGGAGCAGGAGAAGAUGAUGAGGGCGAUGCGCCGCCCUCAUGUCGAUGGUCAGCCAUACGAUUGAUCCUAGGUUUUUAUCUCUCGGUUAACUUUCAAGGCCCUUACUUCAUGCACGGUCACAAUAGGAAAUCAGAGUUAUCAUUGGUGCAGCUUGUGAUGGACCGGCUUUGAGGAAUUGAUAGAUGAAGAUAAAUUUCUACUUUCUGUUUAAAGAUUCAAACAUGGGGAACACAGUUAAUAUCUCAUGCAUUAUGCCUAAUCAUAUGUAGGCCAAGAUAUAGCAGAGGUGUCGGAAAGUUCAGGUGAGAUCCAAAUACUCCAUAACCUCUUAUUUCCUAGCUAUUGGUGCAUUAUUCAUGAUUAUUGAAUUAACAAAGCACACUUUUCUUAAUUAAAUGGUAAGGAAAGUUACAGGACUACGAUGUAAUUAGGCAGCAAAACUGAAAUCUGCUACGUGAUGCUCUGCUUGGGUAUAGGAUUCAGUUUUUAAUUGCGGAAAUCUUCCAAGUUGACAUUUAUGAGUUGUGGUCUGCAGACUUUCUACUUAAUGUAUCUUCACCAUAAUAUCUGUACAAUAAUCAUGCUACAUUUUAUAUUAACUUUGUGACCAAUGCUACCAAUCUUAGCCGGCCAUUCUUAUACUUGGUGAUGUGCUUAGUUUAGCUAAUUAGAUAAUUAUCAGAUAUUAUUUCAAGAAUGACUAUGAAACUUUUAGCAGAUACUUCUAUUUUUUUGUUACAGGUAUAAUUUAUGUCCAAGAGAUAAGUUGGCGCGGGAGUCACUGUUGCAGUAUAUGGAAAAAAAUGAUCUUACUUUACUUCAUGAUCAGGUGUUUAGAGUAUUCAUGGUCACCAGGGAGCACAAGGAGUUGGGGAGGAAGGAGGAGCCCACGGCCAUCCAUCAGCGGUGGCAGGCAGCGCAGGGUUGAGUUGGAGGCAAACACAUCAAGAAGCAUGUAAUAAGGUGACAGUCGCUGGCCAUUACCACAAUAACUUGAGUUUGAGACUCUAAAGCAAACUAGGUUUAAGCCAUGGCAUUCUCUCCGUCAUAUACAUCAUUCUAUUGGAGAAGUCCCGGUCUACUUCCUUCGAGCAAGCAGUGUAUAUGUUGUUGACUUUAGUUCAUAGUAGGACAUGUUGUAUUAAUGAAGAUUUACAUAUUGUUUCACUGACAUGUAUUAAUGAAGAUUUACAUUUUGUUUUGCCCAUGGGAUAGUCUUUCAUUUGAUUUCUAUGCUUAAUAUAAUAUUUUACAAACUGUUUAUUGGGGCCGUGAGCCAAGGCGAGCCCCAAAAUAUUUCUCUA